This 543-nucleotide long non-coding RNA is filed under the name Hordeum vulgare. RNAcentral's name for it is "long non-coding RNA (HVUL_LNC010535)". Lineage: Eukaryota; Viridiplantae; Streptophyta; Magnoliopsida; Poales; Poaceae. The record is from RNAcentral.
UUUUUACUGUUUUUUACCUUCCAGAAAAUCCAUAUCAGAUGAGGUCCAAUUGCCAUGAAAGUUUACGUAGAUUUUUUUGGAAGAGAAGGAAACUUGGGAAUCAAGAAUGAGCUGCACACGAGGCCCAGGGGGAACUAGACAUUAGAGCGCGAAAGAGGCCCCUCGCGCGGCCUGGUGUCUAGUGUGGCCCUUGAGAACCUUCUCCACUGCCUCUGAGGUCUAUAAAUACCCCAAUAUUCAGCAAACACUAGAGGAGUCGACGGAAAAUCAUUUCAGCCGCCGCAAGUUCCAAAGCCACGAAAUCCAAUCUAGAGCCCGUUUCUGAGAGGAACACGAUCACAGAGGGGUUCACCAUCCUCAUUGGUGCUCCACCGUUGAUGCAUGAGUAGUUCAUAUCAGACCUACGGGUCUGUAGGCACUAGCUAGAUGGUUUUCUCUCUCGUUUUGUUUCUCAAUGCAUUGGUCUCUUGGAGAUCCAUAUGAUGUAACUCUUUAUUUUGCGGUGUGUUUGUUGGGAUCCCAUGAAUUGUGAGUUUAUGAUCA